ACGGUGUUUCCCCGAUCCAGACCUUUCUUUCCCCUCUGCGCCAAAGUCUUCUUCCCCCAACCCAUCUCGAUCCCGAUCCUCCCUUCUUCUCGUUCUCUUCCACGGACGAGUCAACGUCGAGGCUGGAGAGCACAUUACCGGAGCUCGACGCAAGGGAGUCACCGGAGCUCGACAGAAACCAACGGGGUCUAGGUUAUCUUCGGUCGAGGGAUCUCCAUUCGGUGGAUUUGGUGAUCGUUCGUCGACGAUCGAUGGCUGGGGCACAGCGGGAGGCUUGAUUAGCAUCGUUCCCUAACCGACCUUCGUCCCUCUUUCCCGAGCUGCUCACAGAGCGAUCUGCAUCCUCACUGGCCGGAUCAGACCGAGCGAUGCCAUCGGCGAGGAGUGAUCUUGGGGGUCUUUACCUUCGGCUCCGAUCAAUUGUCACCGCACGAAGCUGUGUCCUGACGGUGAUCAUUGAGGUCACGAGAUUGGGUGUGUUGAAUUGUUGAUCUCAUCUCUUGUGAUCGGAUUAACUUCAAUGAAAUGAGGAUCUGGAUUGUGAGGUGAACCCAGCAGAGAGGAUCUGUAGGCUGUGAAGUUCUGUUCUGUCUUGUUUUGUGGAUUGGUUGGCUCCAGUAGCAGCUCACCUUGGUUACGGUAGCCACCUCAUCCAGCAGAUCUUCUGAUUUCAGUAGUUACAGCAGUUGAGAUUGAGGUUGAGGCCGUCAGGAGAUAUUCCAGUCGCUAGCCCCAUUAUCGCGAGGAUUUUCGUUGUCG
This is a long non-coding RNA of Zingiber officinale, 759 nucleotides long. RefSeq lists it as uncharacterized. The transcript has 4 exons. The record is from RefSeq and is a predicted model, not a curated record. Lineage: Eukaryota; Viridiplantae; Streptophyta; Magnoliopsida; Zingiberales; Zingiberaceae.